Mustela putorius furo (domestic ferret) is the source of this 315-nucleotide unclassified non-coding RNA. Its record names the gene 7SK. It matches the Rfam family "7SK RNA". Rfam says of the family: 7SK was discovered as an abundant small nuclear RNA in the mid-70s but a possible function has only recently been suggested. Two independent studies have found that 7SK RNA binds the CDK9/cyclin T complex (known as elongation factor P-TEFb). The record is from Ensembl. Lineage: Eukaryota; Metazoa; Chordata; Mammalia; Carnivora; Mustelidae.
GGAUGUGAGGGCGAUCUGGCUACGACAUCUGUCACCCCACUGAUCGCCAGGGUUGAUUCGGCUGAUCUGGCUGGCUAGGCGGGUGUCCCCUUCCUCCCUCACCGCUCCAUGUGCGUCUCUCCCGAAGCUGCGCGCUCGGUCAAAGAGGACGACCUUCCCCGAUAGAGAGGACCGUUCUUCGGUCAAGGGUAUACGAGUAGCUGCGCUCCCCUGCUAGAACCUCCAAACAAGCUCUCAAGGUUCAUAAAAUAGCUAACAUACUAAUGUAUUUAAAUGCCCAAAGGACCCCAGAAAACUGGAUAACCCUCUACCUUU